This 85-nucleotide transfer RNA is filed under the name Felis catus (domestic cat). It matches the Rfam family "tRNA". Rfam says of the family: Transfer RNA (tRNA) molecules are approximately 80 nucleotides in length. Their secondary structure includes four short double-helical elements and three loops (D, anti-codon, and T loops). The record is from Rfam by way of RNAcentral. Lineage: Eukaryota; Metazoa; Chordata; Mammalia; Carnivora; Felidae.
GCCUGGGUGGCUCAGUCGGUCGAGCGUCCGACUUCAGCUCAGGUCGUGAUCUCACAGUUCGUGGGUUCGAGCCCCACAUCAGGCU